AUGUGUCAACAAUCAAACAAACAAACGAAUACAAAAUAAAAGAAAAAAUAAAAAACAGCAGGUGCUGAAGUCACCUGGCUCACCGUGCGGGACCGCGCAGCUCUCCUGGCAGUGACCGUUCCUCUCUAAGGAGAAGAACGGUUCCGCUUGAGCUGUGUCCUCGAGUUGGACCGGAACAUUUGCUGCACAGAAAGUGGACCACGUGACCCUCGGUAGCGUCCAUGAUUGUGAGACGUUUCAAGACAAAAACGGAUCCUCACGGUUCAUAUAUUUGAAGCAGAAGAAGAAGAAGAGGAGGAGGACCAGCAGGAGGGUUAGGAGGAAGCCGGCCCACAAGCUGGCGGGGACCAUCCACGGGCACACUGGAGGAGGAGGAGAGCCUCAUGAGGGGAUUCAUCACCCUGCUGUGACCAACAUUCACAUCCAUCCGUCCACCACUGUCACCCAACUCAUCCGCUCUUCGUGACCAACAUGUUUUCAAGUCUCCGCACAUGGCGUCUUCACGUGACGUCCCUGCUGUUGCCAGGGGGCGCACACUGUGUCGUUGGUGCGUGUCGCUGUGACAACAAAAUGAGCGUCAAACCCAGAUCCAUUCAUCGUGUUUCGUCAUCAACAAGACCUACAUGGAACUUUGACCCCUUGGCCAGGAGGACAGCUGGUCACCGGACGGCAGAUGUCACAGUCAGGCGACGCACAGUAGAAGCGGGACUCACACUGGCACACCCGGUUAGUCUGAGGCCGACAUUCCUCUAAGACCCUCAGGUGGUUGGCUGAAAAGUCACAAGGCUGGUGUGAAGUGUACAAUUCUCCCAGAGCUAAAAUACUGCAUAUGGUCACACAAACAUGGCAACACAGACUUGCUCUUUUCAGACUCUUAUCCAUACAUAAACCAUGAGAAAAAAAAUUAAAUACAAUGUCGUAAUCUAAAAUGUCAGAGUCGUGAGUCAUCCCAGCGCUACUUCAAAUUCAUCCUGUCACUUUCAUAAAAUUCAAGUCAAACGAAGAGCCUCUUCUCAUUUCGGCUGCACCUGAACGCAUCCUCCCAACAAGGGAUUUUGUGAACAGGGGAGCGUGAAUGAUGUGGAAUAUUAAGAGCAAAAAUGGAAGAUAUGAGACAGACAAUGUCUUCAUUGGAGGAGCUUACAGGGAUAACACCGACGGCACACCAGGCAUUUGCUCAUGCUGUUCUUGGUGGUUGUGAAGCGUCCAUCUCCGCACUCCUGGCACUGAGUCGUCUCCCUGUCUGUGCACUCUUUUGCUAGGCGUGUUCCUGAGGAGAGGCAGAUAAAGUAUGUUUCCAAUACACACUCUUGUUCCUCCUACUGAACCAGAC
Long non-coding RNA from Synchiropus splendidus (mandarinfish), 1333 nucleotides. RefSeq lists it as uncharacterized. Lineage: Eukaryota; Metazoa; Chordata; Actinopteri; Syngnathiformes; Callionymidae. The transcript is spliced from 3 exons. The record is from RefSeq and is a predicted model, not a curated record.